CACAUGCAAGUCGAGCGCGGGAAGCAAACUGAAUCCUUCGGGAGGACGUUUGUGGGACGAGCGGCGGACGGGUGAGUAACACGUGGGCAACCUGCCUGUAAGACUGGGAUAACUCCGGGAAACCGGGGCUAAUACCGGAUAACCCAUUGGACCACAUGGUCCAGUGUUGAAAGAUGGCUUUUAGCUAUCACUUACAGAUGGGCCCGCGGCGCAUUAGCUAGUUGGUGAGGUAACGGCUCACCAAGGCAACGAUGCGUAGCCGACCUGAGAGGGUGAUCGGCCACACUGGGACUGAGACACGGCCCAGACUCCUACGGGAGGCAGCAGUAGGGAAUCUUCCGCAAUGGACGAAAGUCUGACGGAGCAACGCCGCGUGAGUGAGGAAGGCCUUCGGGUCGUAAAACUCUGUUGUUAGGGAAGAACAAGUACCGUUCGAAUAGGUCGGUACCUUGACGGUACCUAACCAGAAAGCCACGGCUAACUACGUGCCAGCAGCCGCGGUAAUACGUAGGUGGCAAGCGUUGUCCGGAAUUAUUGGGCGUAAAGCGCGCGCAGGCGGUUCCUUAAGUCUGAUGUGAAAGCCCCCGGCUCAACCGGGGAGGGUCAUUGGAAACUGGGGAGCUUGAGUGCAGAAGAGGAGAGCGGAAUUCCACGUGUAGCGGUGAAAUGCGUAGAUAUGUGGAGGAACACCAGUGGCGAAGGCGGCUCUCUGGUCUGUAACUGACGCUGAGGCGCGAAAGCGUGGGUAGCGAACAGGAUUAGAUACCCUGGUAGUCCACGCCGUAAACGAUGAGUGCUAGGUGUUAGGGGUUUCCACCCUUAGUGCUGCAGUUAACGCAAUAAGCACUCCGCCUGGGGAGUACGGCCGCAAGGCUGAAACUCAAAGGAAUUGACGGGGGCCCGCACAAGCGGUGGAGCAUGUGGUUUAAUUCGAAGCAACGCGAAGAACCUUACCAGGUCUUGACAUCUUCGGACCACCCUAGAGAUAGGGUCUUCCCUUCGGGGACCGAAUGACAGGUGGUGCAUGGUUGUCGUCAGCUCGUGUCGUGAGAUGUUGGGUUAAGUCCCGCAACGAGCGCAACCCUUGAUCUUAGUUGCCAGCAUUCAGUUGGGCACUCUAAGGUGACUGCCGGUGACAAACCGGAGGAAGGUGGGGAUGACGUCAAAUCAUCAUGCCCCUUAUGACCUGCGCUACACACGUGCUACAAUGGAUGGUACAAAGGGCAGCGAAACCCGCGAGGUUGAGCAAAUCCCAUAAAGCCAUUCUCAGUUCGGGAUU
This 1279-nucleotide ribosomal RNA is filed under the name uncultured bacterium. RNAcentral describes it as "bacterial SSU rRNA". It matches the Rfam family "Bacterial small subunit ribosomal RNA", at positions 52 to 1300 of the family's 1533-position model. The record is from RNAcentral.